GACGAACGCUGGCGGCGUGCUUAACACAUGCAAGUCGAACGGAAAGGCCCUGCUUUUGUGGGGUGCUCGAGUGGCGAACGGGUGAGUAACACGUGAGUAACCUGCCCUUGACUUUGGGAUAACUUCAGGAAACUGGGGCUAAUACCGGAUAGGAGCUCCUGCUGCAUGGUGGGGGUUGGAAAGUUUCGGCGGUUGGGGAUGGACUCGCGGCUUAUCAGCUUGUUGGUGGGGUAGUGGCUUACCAAGGCUUUGACGGGUAGCCGGCCUGAGAGGGUGACCGGCCACAUUGGGACUGGGAUACGGCCCAGACUCCUACGGGAGGCAGCAGUGGGGAAUAUUGCACAAUGGGCGGAAGCCUGAUGCAGCAACGCCGCGUGCGGGAUGACGGCCUUCGGGUUGUAAACCGCUUGCGCCUGUGACGAAGCGUGAGUGACGGUAACGGGUAAAGAAGCACCGGCUAACUACGUG
This 468-nucleotide ribosomal RNA is filed under the name uncultured bacterium. RNAcentral describes it as "partial 16S ribosomal RNA". It matches the Rfam family "Bacterial small subunit ribosomal RNA", at positions 28 to 507 of the family's 1533-position model. The record is from RNAcentral.